AAAAACUCCGGUGGUAUGGGAUGGACCCGCGUCUGAUUAGCUAGUUGGUGGGGUAAAGGCCCACCAAGGCGACGAUCAGUAGCCGACCUGAGAGGGUGACCGGCCACAUUGGGACUGAGACACGGCCCAAACUCCUACGGGAGGCAGCAGUGGGGAAUAUUGCACAAUGGGGGAAACCCUGAUGCAGCGACGCCGCGUGAAGGAUGAAGUAUUUCGGUAUGUAAACUUCUAUCAGCAGGGAAGAAAAUGACGGUACCUGACUAAGAAGCCCCGGCUAACUACGUGCCAGCAGCCGCGGUAAUACGUAGGGGGCAAGCGUUAUCCGGAUUUACUGGGUGUAAAGGGAGCGUAGACGGCAUGGCAAGUCUGAUGUGAAAACCCGGGGCUCAACCCCGGGACUGCAUUGGAAACUGUCAGGCUAGAGUGUCGGAGAGGCAAGUGGAAUUCCUAGUGUAGCGGUGAAAUGCGUAGAUAUUAGGAGGAACACCAGUGGCGAAGGCGGCUUGCUGGACGAUGACUGACGUUGAGGCUCGAAAGCGUGGGGAGCAAACAGGAUUAGAUACCCUGGUAGUCCACGCCGUAAACGAUGACUACUAGGUGUCGGG
RNAcentral lists this ribosomal RNA (605 nucleotides) under uncultured bacterium. RNAcentral's name for it is "bacterial SSU rRNA". It matches the Rfam family "Bacterial small subunit ribosomal RNA", at positions 202 to 827 of the family's 1533-position model. The record is from RNAcentral.